Molecule: ribosomal RNA, 253 nt
Filed under: uncultured bacterium
Lineage: Bacteria
Description: partial 16S ribosomal RNA
Rfam family: Bacterial small subunit ribosomal RNA
Source: RNAcentral
UACAGAGGUCUCAAGCGUUGUUCGGAUUCAUUGGGCGUAAAGGGUGCGUAGGCGGCGCGGUAAGUCGGGUGUGAAAUCUCGGAGCUUAACUCCGAAACUGCAUUCGAUACUGCCGUGCUUGAGGACUGGAGAGGAGACUGGAAUUUACGGUGUAGCGGUGAAAUGCGUAGAUAUCGUAAGGAAGACCAGUGGCGAAGGCGGCCCCCUGGUCGGAUACUGACGCUGAGACGCGAAAGCGUGGGGAGCAAACAGG